Molecule: long non-coding RNA, 718 nt
Filed under: Rattus norvegicus (Norway rat)
Lineage: Eukaryota; Metazoa; Chordata; Mammalia; Rodentia; Muridae
Description: long non-coding RNA NONRATT023998
Source: RNAcentral
GGACAUCAGAGAUGAGAAAAGCAGCAUUGAAGGAGGGGUGGGGUUGCUGGAGCAGAGGGCGAUGUUUGCAGGGGUGGGGCUUAUUGUAGUGAGGGUUUGUUACUGAAUCCCUUACUUGUCUUGCUGCUGUGGUAAAACGCCUCAGAAAAGGAACUUAAGAAAAGAAGAGCUUAUCCAGGUUCAUGGCUGGAGGGUACAGUCCAUCCGCAGCACUCAAGUCUGGAGGCCGGAGCCUGAGGCAGCCAACCUCAUCGACCUCAUCGCAUCCACAAUCAGGAAGCAAAGACAACAGGUGCUGCAGCUCAGCUUGCUGGCUCCUUUUCAUUCAGUCUUUGACCUCGGUCCAUGAGAUGGCACCACCCACUUUGGGGUGGAUCUCCCCCCCCUUUAAUCAGCGUAAUCUAGAUAAGCCCUCACAGCCGUGCAGAAAUCUGUUUUCCUGCAUGAGUCCUAAACCAAGAGUUACAGUCAAAAUGAACCAUCACAAUUACAUGUGUACACUCAGGGAGAGACAGAGGCUGUCCAAAAUGAGAAGUCUAAACCUGGAGGGCUCUUCAUGUAUCCUGUCCUGUCCUGAUGUCCCAUUCAGCCCUGGGACCACAUCCCCUCGAUGUGGCAGGUCCACAGACCUAUCAAAUCCUGCCUGCUUUCCUUUCUAGGCACAGGUCAUGACCCACCUUCCGUUAUUAUGUGUAGUUAGUGAGUUCUUGACAAUAAA